CAGAGAGGGAGUGAUGUUUAUAUUCAAUCUGUAAAGUAAUAAAAAAUUAAUGUUGGUUGAGUGGUUAUUGUUGCUUUUAAAACCCUAGUCUAUACCAUUACUUCUCUUUUUGUUUCUUUGCUUCACUAACCUUUUUUUUGGGGUCAAAACGCUUCACUAAUCUUGCAUAUCUUUCUAUUCUAGUAUUGACCAAUUGAGUUACCUAACACCGAUACAAAACUACAUUUGUUUAUCCAAUAAUUGAUCGAACAUAAUAGGAUAGUAAUACUAAUAUACGUAUAGUAAGUAAUUCACUGUAUUGAACGAUGCAAGACUUAUAUAUUAUUUUCUUAGUGACUCUAAAGUCUCGAAUGUAUAAUUGGUUAACACAUUGUGAUCAAUGUUUAUCUUCUGAAAGUCAGCUAUAUGGAGGCCUGAAACUUCAAACCUAAUCAAGAUGAACUGGUAAUUAAUCUUGUUGUAUACUGUGUAAUUUUGAAGUAUAUUAAUAUGAAUGCAGUAUUGCCAAACGUGACUAUAUGCGGAAAUAAAACCUACUUGUGAUUCAAAAGAUACUGGCGGCUAGUGGAUAACGUAGAAAGUUAAAGCGCUUAAAAUAGAUCUUGCGUAUGACUCAUUUGCUUUCUGAACAGUAAUGUUAAGUCAAAC
Molecule: long non-coding RNA, 648 nt
Filed under: Brassica napus (rape)
Lineage: Eukaryota; Viridiplantae; Streptophyta; Magnoliopsida; Brassicales; Brassicaceae
Description: long non-coding RNA (BNAP_LNC020550)
Source: RNAcentral